AGAGUUUGAUCCUGGCUCAGAUUGAACGCUGGCGGAAUGCUUUACACAUGCAAGUCGAACGGCAGCACGGACUUCGGUCUGGUGGCGAGUGGCGAACGGGUGAGUAACAUAUCGGAACGUAUCCAAUAAUGGGGGAUAACUAAUCGAAAGGUUGGCUAAUACCGCAUACGCCCUACGGGGGAAAGCUAGGGACCUUCGGGCCUGGCGUUAAUGGAGCGGCCGAUAUCUGAUUAGCUAGUUGGUGAGGUAAAGGCUCACCAAGGCGACGAUCAGUAGCUGGUCUGAGAGGACGACCAGCCACACUGGAACUGAGACACGGUCCAGACUCCUACGGGAGGCAGCAGUGGGGAAUUUUGGACAAUGGGCGCAAGCCUGAUCCAGCCAUUCCGCGUGAGUGAAGAAGGCCUUCGGGUUGUAAAGCUCUUUCGCAAGGGAAGAAAACUUAGUUACUAAUAUUAACUGAGGUUGACGGUACCUUGAUAAGAAGCACCGGCUAACUACGUGCCAGCAACCGCGGUAAUACGUAGGGUGCGAGCGUUAAUCGGAAUUACUGGGCGUAAAGCGUGCGCAGGCUGUUUUGUAAGUCAGAUGUGAAAUCCCCGAGCUCAACUUGGGAACUGCGUUUGAAACUACAAGACUAGAAUAUGUCAGAGGGGGGUAGAAUUCCGCGUGUAGCAGUGAAAUGCGUACAGAUGUGGAGGAAUAUCAAUGGCGAAGGCAGCCCCCUGUUAUAUCAUUGACGCUCAUGCACUGAAAGCGUGGGGAGCAAACAGGAUUAAGAUACCCUGCUAGUCCGCGCC
RNAcentral lists this ribosomal RNA (800 nucleotides) under uncultured bacterium. Its description in RNAcentral is "bacterial SSU rRNA". It matches the Rfam family "Bacterial small subunit ribosomal RNA", at positions 8 to 801 of the family's 1533-position model. The record is from RNAcentral.